CAGUGGAAGCUCAUUUCUACACUCACCUCGUGGCUCUGCCAAAUUGACGUCCUCGCAAACAGUUGGGCAAUAGGGCGUCUGCUGGCAAGGCUUCCAAACCAGCUCCGAGGCUUCCAGGGCCUUGUUUGUCAGAACUCGGAGCCCUGGCAGGUGGUUUCCUUCCAUGCUGAUACAGCCAAAGGUUACACACACUCAGAUAAAGGAGGUUAAAGGCUACAACCCUGUGAGCUGCGAGAGGUCAGAAGAGUGAGCCGCUUGGGUCCAGGAGUCGUUCAGGAAUAUGAGUCCAUGUUGUGCAUCAAGCCCAGCAUCGAAGUCCCCAAUUGACCCAGCCCAGUGGUACCUGUAAUACGGUCUCACAAAUAAGCAAUGCCUUGUUUGGCCAUGAACUGGAUCACACUCUUCUUUCUGGGCUGUUUCUGACCAAUUCAAAUCAACAGACAUUUAUUGACUACCUACUGAAUACAAGGAGAAAUACAGCCUGGCCAUGUGGCCGAAGGACUCACCUUGGAGACCCAUCACUGACACCCACUAGAUGAGGAGCCUGAAGCUGUGAGGAGCUGUGACAUGCCCACAGCCAUAUAGCCAGCAGAGAAGUGCCUUCCUGUCUCAGGGUCCAGCAUUCUAUCUGUGGUAGCACCUUGGCCACCUCCAUACAAGGCAAAGACAAAAAGACAAAAACAAAACCAUCUCCACUCUCCCUGAGCUUAUCAGGCUGGGAGGAGGGUAUGGCGGGUGCCCAGAUGAAUAAGUACGGGAGUAUACAUAAAAUAACUUGGAAGGGGAAGCACUGAUGGCAGGGAUCUGGAAUCCUGGGUCUUGAGUUGGAAGGAGUGCUGAGGUUAGCUAGUGCACCCUCCUCCUUUUACAGGUAGGGAAACUGAGACAGAGAGAGGUGAAGGAGCUUGCCUAUAGAUGUCAAAGCCAGGAUUAUGAGCCCAGGGCCUCCGGCCCCAAAGCCUGCCUUCUUUCUAGCAUCACAUUAGUAGGUGGCCCCCAAACUGUGCUUUGAAUCAAUGGAAGGAUUCUAAGAGGGGCGUGGGAGGAGGGAGAGAGGUGAACGUAUCUGGGAGCUCUUUCCAGCUCUUCCCUGUCUGUAUGUGUCCACCCUUCUGAUGGACUAGACUUCAUGAUCACCAUGAAUCUGAAACAGAAUGGAGAAUUACUGAUCCAGAAUUCAUUUUGUGAAUUAUUUCAUAUGAAGAUCUGGCAAAAAAAAAAUGGUACUGGGAUACAGGGAGAGGAGAGGAGAGGAGAGGAGGGUUGGAAUCAAGGAGCCCUGGCAGUUUAUGGUCUUGUCCUGUGAACCAGGGAGGGCGCGAGCAGCCCCAGGCUCCAGUUAGGCCCCCCCACGGUCCUCAGCAGAGGUGUGGGUGGACCUCUGACAGGCUGCAUUCUGCCCCAGAUGCAGCCGGUGACAGCCCCGAUAGAUGGACAGGGAAAGUCUUUGUGGUGCCAUCCUGGCCCAUUGUCACAGAGCGCUUGGAGCUGGCAUCCUGAGCUGAGGCAGCUGUUCAGAAACAGGUCCCAAGGAGCCCGCAGCCCAAGGGAGGGGGCUCUGGGAUGGGGAGUUCAUCCCCAUCAUCCCACGUUUUCACUCUGCAGAAGCCUCAGAUGGCUUUAUUGGCCUCACCGUAGCUGGAAGCACACGUUUUGUUCUACCCGGUGCCUGGAGACAGUUCAGUAUUCACGGAUCACAGGCAAAGGUGCAGAAUCCUGCUUUCAAAUACACUCCCAGUGGGGGAUCUCUGGGGCAGAGGGAAAACGCAUUCUAAAUGAGGACAGGUAAACAGAAGUCUCUCCUCUGCCCCGAAAGAGUUAAUGCCAAGUCUCUCUCUCUCUCUCUCUCUCUCUACCAGGAUUUGGGGUGAUCAAAAGCUUUUCCGGGUAUACCCAGAUUCUCCUCUCUGAAAAGUAGUGGGCCUAUUUCAGGAGCUCAAAUGAUCCUAGGUUUAAUGAGAAUGAUGUGCCUUUAUAUCCCAAAGAGAUCAUACAAAUGGGAAAAGGACCCACAUGUACAAAAAUAUUUAUAGCAGCUCUUU
Long non-coding RNA from Phascolarctos cinereus (koala), 2042 nucleotides. RefSeq lists it as uncharacterized. Lineage: Eukaryota; Metazoa; Chordata; Mammalia; Diprotodontia; Phascolarctidae. The record is from RefSeq and is a predicted model, not a curated record.